UACGGAGGGUCCGGGCGUUAUCCGGAUUUAUUGGGUUUAAAGGGAGCGCAGGCGGGAUAUUAAGCGUGACGUGAAAUGUAGCCGCUCAACGGCUGAACUGCGUCGCGAACUGGUAUUCUUGAGUGAGUUCGAUGUAGGCGGAUUCGUGGUGUAGCGGCGAAAUGCUUAGAUAUCACGAAGAACUCCGAUUGCGAAGGCAGCCUACAAGGCCUUUACUGACGCUAAAGCUCGAAGGUGCGGGUAUCGAACA
RNAcentral lists this ribosomal RNA (250 nucleotides) under uncultured prokaryote. RNAcentral describes it as "partial 16S ribosomal RNA". It matches the Rfam family "Bacterial small subunit ribosomal RNA", at positions 524 to 774 of the family's 1533-position model. The record is from RNAcentral.